UGCCAGCCGCCGCGGUAAUACGAAGGGUGCUAGCGUUGUUCGGAAUUACUGGGCGUAAAGCGCGCGUAGGCGGAUUGUUAAGUCGGGGGUGAAAUCCCGGGGCUCAACCCCGGAACUGCCUCCGAUACUGGCAAUCUAGAGGUCGAGAGAGGCGAGUGGAAUACCGAGUGUAGAGGUGAAAUUCGUAGAUAUUCGGUGGAACACCAGUGGCGAAGGCGGCUCGCUGGCUCGAUUCUGACGCUGAGGUGCGAAAGUGUGGGGAGCAAACAGGAUUAGAUA
RNAcentral lists this ribosomal RNA (279 nucleotides) under uncultured bacterium. RNAcentral describes it as "partial 16S ribosomal RNA". It matches the Rfam family "Bacterial small subunit ribosomal RNA", at positions 506 to 784 of the family's 1533-position model. The record is from RNAcentral.